This 67-nucleotide transfer RNA is filed under the name Solen strictus (Gould's razor shell). RNAcentral's name for it is "tRNA-Leu". It matches the Rfam family "tRNA". Rfam says of the family: Transfer RNA (tRNA) molecules are approximately 80 nucleotides in length. Lineage: Eukaryota; Metazoa; Mollusca; Bivalvia; Adapedonta; Solenidae. The record is from RNAcentral.
AGGAAGUUAGCAGAAUGGUAAUGCGUUUGAUUUAGGAUCAAAAGAUUGUAGGUUUUUACACUUUCUA